UUCCGUAGGUGAACCUGCGGAAGGAUCAUUAAUGAAACUUCAAAGUCGGCCAAAGGUUGUUGCUGGUGAUUAUUCACAUGUGCACRCCUUUGGUCGCAAAUCCACACACACCUGUGCAUCUAUGACUCGAGGUUGUAAUGACUGAGAGUAACUUUUAUACACUCUUGUAUGUAAUGGAAUGUCUUUUUGUGCUAUAAUGUACAAUAUAAACAACUUUCAACAACGGAUCUCUUGGCUCUCGCAUCGAUGAAGAACGCAGCGAAAUGCGAUAAGUAAUGUGAAUUGCAGAAUUCAGUGAAUCAUCGAAUCUUUGAACGCACCUUGCACCCUUUGGUAUUCCGAAGGGUACGCCCGUUUGAGUGUCAUUGUAAUCUCACUUCUACAACUUUAUUGUUGUUUGAAUGUGGACUUGGAUGUUGCCGUUUUAUCACGGCUCGUCUUAAAUGCCUGAGUGUACCCUGUUUUGCAGCGUAUCCAGUGUAAUAAACAUUUCACUAGAGUUGGUYGAAAGACCRCGUUGACUAUAUGGGCUCUAUGCUUCAAACCGUCUGCCAUGUGGACAAUUUCUUGACAAUUUGACCUCAAAUCGGGUGGGACUACCCGCUGAACUUAAGCAUAUCAAUAAGCGGAGGAAAAGAAACUAACAAGGAUUCCCCUAGUAACGGCGAGUGAAGAGGGAAAAGCUCAAAUUUUAAAUCUGGUGUCUUUGACUCCCGAGUUGUAAUCUAGAGAAGUGUUUUCCGUGUCGGACCGUGUACAAGUUCCCUGGAACGGGGCGUCAUAGAGGGUGAGAAUCCCGUAUAUGCCACGGACUACCGAUGCUCUGUGAUACACUCUCAACGAGUCGAGUUGUUUGGGAAUGCAGCUCAAAAUGGGUGGUAAAUUCCAUCUAAAGCUAAAUAUUGGCGAGAGACCGAUAGCGAACAAGUACCGUGAGGGAAAGAUGAAAAGCACUUUGGAAAGAGAGUGAAACAGUACGUGAAAUUGUUGAAAGGGAAGCGUUUGAAGUCAGUYGCAUCUGUUGGGGUUCAGCCUGGCUUUUGCCUGGUGUAUUUCCUUUCCGAUGGGUCAGCAUCAGUUUCGACCGAGGGAAAAAGACAUUUGGAAUGUGGCUGUCUUCGGGCAGUGUUAUAGCCUUGUGUUGUAUGUCUCGGUUGGGACUGAGGAUUGCAGCGCGCCAUAAAUGGCCGGGGGUCGCUCCUCUCGACACGCGCUUAGGAUGCUGGCAUAAUGGCUUUAAGCGACCCGUCUUG
Molecule: ribosomal RNA, 1253 nt
Filed under: uncultured Sebacina
Lineage: Eukaryota; Fungi; Basidiomycota; Agaricomycetes; Sebacinales; Sebacinaceae
Description: eukaryotic LSU rRNA
Rfam family: Eukaryotic large subunit ribosomal RNA (bases 577-1253)
Source: RNAcentral